RNAcentral lists this ribosomal RNA (789 nucleotides) under uncultured bacterium. RNAcentral describes it as "bacterial SSU rRNA". It matches the Rfam family "Bacterial small subunit ribosomal RNA", at positions 8 to 796 of the family's 1533-position model. The record is from RNAcentral.
AGAGUUUGAUCCUGGCUCAGGAUGAACGCUAGCGGGAGGCCUAACACAUGCAAGUCGAACGGGAUUGGGAGCUUGCUCCCAUGAGAGUGGCGCACGGGUGAGUAACGCGUAUGCAACCUACCUGUAACAGAGGGAUAGCCCAUAGAAAUGUGGAUUAAAACCUCAUAGUUCUGAGAUAUCGCAUGAUACUUCAGAUAAAACUCCGGUGGUUACAGAUGGGCAUGCGUGACAUUAGCUAGUUGGUAAGGUAACGGCUUACCAAGGCUACGAUGCCUAGGGGUUCUGAGAGGAUGAUCCCCCACACUGGUACUGAGACACGGACCAGACUCCUACGGGAGGCAGCAGUGAGGAAUAUUGGUCAAUGGGCGCAAGCCUGAACCAGCCAUCCCGCGUGCAGGAUGAAGGCCCUAUGGGUCGUAAACUGCUUUUAUACACCAAGAAAAACACCCACGUGUGGGUGCCCGACGGUAGUGUAUGAAUAAGCAUCGGCUAACUCCGUGCCAGCAGCCGCGGUAAUACGGAGGAUGCAAGCGUUAUCCGGAUUCAUUGGGUUUAAAGGGUGCGUAGGCGGCUUUUUAAGUCAGUGGUGAAAUCUUGCCGCUUAACGGUAAAAUUGCCAUUGAUACUGAUAAGCUUGAGUACAAUUGAGGUAAGCGGAAUGUGUAGUGUAGCGGUGAAAUGCUUAGAUAUUACACAGAACACCGAUUGCGAAGGCAGCUUACUAAACUGUUACUGACGCUGAUGCACGAAAGCGUGGGGAGCGAACAGGAUUAGAUACCCUGGUAGUCC